UACGGGAGGCAGCAGUGGGGAAUAUUGCACAAUGGGCGCAAGCCUGAUGCAGCCAUGCCGCGUGUAUGAAAAAGGCCUUCGGGUUGUAAAGUACUUUUCAGUCGUGAGGAAGGUGUUAAGGUUAAUAACCUUAGCAAUUGACGUUAGCGACAGAAGAAGCACCGGCUAACUCCGUGCCAGCAGCCGCGGUAAUACGGAGGGUGCGAGCGUUAAUCGGAAUUACUGGGCGUAAAGGGCACGCAGGCGGUUAAUUAAGUUGGAUGUGAAAUCCCCGGGCUUAACCUGGGAAUGGCAUUCAAGACUGGUUAGCUAGAGUCUUGUAGAGGGGGUAGAAUUCCAUGUGUAGCGGUGAAAUGCGUAGAGAUGUGGAGGAAUACCGGUGGCGAAGGCGGCCCCUGGGACAAAGGACUGACGCUCAUGUGCGAAAGCGUGGGGAGCAAACAGGGAUUAGAUACC
RNAcentral lists this ribosomal RNA (456 nucleotides) under uncultured bacterium. RNAcentral's name for it is "bacterial SSU rRNA". It matches the Rfam family "Bacterial small subunit ribosomal RNA", at positions 340 to 786 of the family's 1533-position model. The record is from RNAcentral.